This 4831-nucleotide long non-coding RNA is filed under the name Canis lupus familiaris (dog). RNAcentral's name for it is "lncRNA (ENSCAFG00000054240.1)". Lineage: Eukaryota; Metazoa; Chordata; Mammalia; Carnivora; Canidae. The record is from RNAcentral.
CCUUACAAGUGAUCUUAUUCCUUCAUAUUGCUUAGCAUUAGUCCAAUGUCCUUUGGUUUCAAGUGAAAGACUCCUUUAGGCACUUCUUGCUGGGCAUAUCUAGUGGUAACAAACUUCCUUGGAUUUUGUUUAUCUGGGAAUUAAUUUCUGCCUUACUUUUGAAAGACAAUUUUGCCAGAUAUACAAUUCUUGGUUAUCAUUUUUCUUUUCUUUCAGCACUUUGAAUAUACCAGCCCACUGCCUUCUGGCUUUAAGGAUUCUGAUGAAGAAUCUGUGGAUAAUCUUAUUGAGUAUCCUUUGUACAUGACAAGUCAUCUCUCUUGUUCCUUUCAAAUUUCUCUUUGUGUUUUGAUUGUAAUUUGUCUUGGUUUGAGCCUCUUUGAAUUCAUCCUUCUUGGAGUUCACUGAGAUUCUUGGAUACUUCUAUUCAUGUAUUUCAUCAAAUUGGGGUUCAAAUCAAGUUCAAGUUAUCCCUCUUCUCCUUUCGUUCGCCUCCUGGGACUCCCACAGCAUGUAUAUUGUUUCACUUAAAGGUGUUCCAGAUGUGCUUUAUAUUCUGGUCACUUUUCUUCAAUCUUUCUUUUGAUUUUCCUAUCUUGAAGUUGACUGAUUCUUCUGUAGUCUCAAAUCUGCUUUUGAAUCCCUCUAGCAAAUUUUUCAUUUCAGUUAUGGUAAUUUUAGCACCAGAAUUUUUUUUAUUUCGUUUUGUGUUUGUGUGAUAUUUCCAUUUUGUUCAUGCAUCAUUUUCCUGCCCUUCUCCAUGUCUUCCUUUAGUUAUUUGACCAUCUGUGAGAUAGAUGUUUGUAUAAUAGAACUGCCAUCACGUCUUUUUAAGAGACAGUUUCUGAAUUUUUUUUUAAAGUGGGCCUUGUUUUUUUCUUUCUGUUGUUUUGUUUGGGGUUUUUUUGUGUGUGUGUGUUUCUUGUGGUUUUGUUUUUGGCUGUUGGGUUGUUUUUGUUUUUGAACACUGGACAUUUAAAUUUAGUACUGUGUUAACUCUGGAAAUCAGAUUCUUCAUCUUUUCCCAGGGUUUGCCAUUUUUACUUAAUUUGUUUAAUUGUCAUAGGCUGUCUCUACUGGGGAACAGCGUGUGGUGUAUCUCAGGGUCUUUUCUGAACCUGUGCCUUAACUUUUAAAAUUCUACUGUAUAUGUGAUUGCUUUGAGAUGUCUUAAUCCUAAAUAUCUGGCUCCCAAGAGAAGAGAAAGAAAAAUGAAGAGGAAAGGUAUGUGGUACCUUAAGUUCCCUGGAAGUCACUUCAGCCACAGAGGGAGGGGCUUGCAACAAUUGGAUAAGGGUUGUACAAAUGGCUGCCCACUUCUAUGUUUUCACCUCUGCAAUCAGUUUAGAGCACAGAUCCCCAAUAUUUGUAGAGUGGGAUCCUACCCAGGCUCCCAAAAACUGCAUGCAAGCUGCUCCAAGGACACACAUAGAGCUGCCUGACAGGGCAAGUGGAUAAGGGAUGGGUAGCUGCUACAGUGCUAAAGACUGAUACUGGCCCAAAAUAGCUGCAAUUUACUACUGCUUAUGCUUUCCUCUGGAAGUUAUAAGCCUUCAAUGGACCCCAGAGUUCCAAAAUAGUUACAGUAGACAUUCUGCCAGUAUAAUUGUUGUCAGGGUAGGGAGAUGACUUCCUUAUUGCUUCCUAUCUACUAUCUUCCCAGAAUCCUUAUUCAAAUGUACUAGAAUUUUUUAACCCUUUUAUGUUACAUGACAUGGGUUUUUGGCUAUUACAAAUUAAGCUAUGACCUUGAAUAUACAGGUCUUCAGAUGGGUCUAUGCUUUCAUUUCCUAAAAUCUAGAAGUACAAUACCUUUGUUACAAGUCAGGGGAAUAUUUAAAUUUUUGGAAACCAACAAAUUGUGUUCUAAAGUGCCUAUAGCAUGUUACUUUCCCCCAGCAGUGAAUGAGGUCCAAUUCUUCCAUAUACUAGCCAAUAAUUGCUAUGAUCAGCAUUUUUAAUGUUUGCCAUUUUAACAGGCAGGUAGUUGUAGAAUCUCAUUGUGGCUUUACCUUGCAUUUAUCUAAUGACUCAUGAUCUCAAUCGAACAUUUUUAAAAUGUUAUUUACCACCCACAUAUCUUUGGUAAAAUUUACAUUCAUAUCUUUUGCCUAUUGUUGAAAUAAAUGUUGGUUGAUAUUUCUAUUUUCAUUAUCAAGAAUAUAAUGAAACAGCAAAGAAAUUUGUUGGAACUUCAGUCAUUUAUCAGUGAUGUCAGUAACUUAUUUACUUAACGGGGUAAUAAGUUUUGGAUACCAAAAAUAUUUCCUCAAAUUUCCAAUGGAAAACUAUAGACACAAUGCACUUUUUAAAAAAUAUUUUACUUAUUUAUUAAUGAGAGACAGAGAGAGGCACAGAGACACAGGCAGAGGGAAAAGCAGGCUCCAUGCAGGGAGCCCAACAUGGGACUCGAUCCGGGGUCUCCAGGAUCAGGCCCUGGGCGGAAGGCGGUGCCAAACUGCUGAGCCACCCAGGCUGCCCGACACAAUGCACUUUUAAGUUUAAUUUGAAUUAUUAACAUAAUGUCUACUUUCUUAAAUCUUCACAGCUAAUGAAACAAUAAGUUGAGCUCUGAGUUAUAGUGUUUACCACGCAGCCAUUUUCAAACUACAACAUGCUGUCAUUGAAUGUGGAGUUGGGAGACUAUGUGCAGUAACACACCAUUGUAGUCUAUUUCCACUACAGAGAUGCAGUAGAUGUAAAUUACCUUAUGCAAAGGUUUCUCUUUUUUUAAGAUUUUAUUUAUUUAUUCAUGAGAGAGGCAGAGACAUAGACAGAGGGAAAAGCAGACUCCCUGCACCGAACCUGAUGCGGGACUUGAUCCCAGGACUCCAGGAUCAUGACCUGAGCCAAAGGCAGACACUCAACUACUAAACCCCCCAGAUGCCCCAUGUUUUCUGAAUUCCAUUAUGAAUUCUCUAAUAUGAGAAUAUUUUCUAAAGGCAUACCAAGAUUUUUUACAUCCAAGUUUCUCAUUAGCAUAAAUUCUGUAAUCCUGAGCAGUGUUGGAGUCAUCCAUAAAGGACUUCCCAAAUUCCUUAAAUUCUUAGGAAAUUUUCACCCAUAUGGUUUCUCUGGUGUACUUUUAGGGCUGGACUGUAUAUAAAGGCCUUCCUGCAUUUUUCACAUUUAAAGGGUUUCUCACCAGUGUGUAUCCUCUGAUGUUCAGUAAGGAAUGAAUUAAGUCUAAAGGUCUUGCCACAUUCCUUACAUUCAAAGGAUUUCUCACCAGUAUGAACAUUCUAAUGUCCAAUAAGUUGCCCAUACAGGGUAAAGGCCUUUCCACAUCCCUUACAUUCAUAGGGAUUUUCACCAGGAUGAAUUCUUCCAUGUUGUACAAAGUAUGAGGCAUGACUAUAAGUUUUCCACAUUCCUUGAAUUUAUAUGGUUUCACAUCAAUGUAAAUUUUCUGAGGUUGUGUAGGAUGUACAUGUAUUCUAAAGGCCUUCUCACAUUCCUUAGAUUCAUAGGGUUUCUCACCAGUAUGAAUCCUCCGGUGCUGAACAAGGUACAAGCCAGUACUAAAGGCCUUGCCACACUCUUUACACUAAUAGGAUUUCUCACCUGAAUGAAGUCUUUCAUGUUGAACAGGAUAUGAGGUAUGACUAAAGGCUUUCCCACAUUCUUUGCAUUCAUAGGGCUUUAUCCCUGCAUGAAUUCUCUGAUGUGCAUUAAGAAAUGAACUAAGUCGAGAGGCCUUUCCACAUUCCUUACAUUCAAAAGGUUUCUCAUCAGUAUGAAUACUCUGACAUGGAGUAAGCUGUCCAUAUACAGUAAAGGCUUUCCCACAUUCCUCACAUUCACAGGAUUUCUCAACAGUAUGAAUUCUCUGAUGUUUAACAAGGGGUGAGCCUCUAAUAAAAGCCUUCCCACAUUCUUUACAUUCAUAGAGUUUCUCAAAAGUGUGAAUUCUCUGAUGUUGAACAAAGCACAAAAUGGUAUAGUAAAGGCCUUCCCAUAUGCCUUACAUUUAUAAGGUUUCUCACCAAUAUGAAGUCUGAUGCUCAGGGAGUCGAUGUCUAUUCCUAAAGUUCUUUCCACAUUCUUUAUGUUUCCAGGGUUUUUCACUAGAAUGUGUUCUCCCAUGUUGAACAGGGUUUGAGCCUUGACAAAAAGUCUUCCCAUAUUCCUGACAUUCAUAUGAUUGCUCUCUAUUAAGAAUUCUCUGAUGUAGACCAAAAGAUGUACACUUCUCAAUUGUGGGCACUUCUUUAGAGCUGACUGUCUCAUUCUUCAGUUGAAAAUCUGAAAGAAGGGGAUGCCUGGGUGGCUCAGUGGUUGAGUGUCUACCUUCAGCUCAGGACAUGAUCCCAGGAUCCAGGGAUCGAGUUCUGCAAUGGGCUUCCUGCAAGGAGCCUGCUUCUCCCUCUGCCUGUGUCUCUGCCUCUGUGUCUCUCAUGAAUAAAUAAGUAAAAUCUUUAAAAAUAAUCAUAAUAAUAAAAUAAGAUAAAAUAAAAUAUAUUAUUUAAAAAAGCAGAGCUUUCUCCUGGCUAAGGGCAGAGGGGAGUCAGAGACCAUCAAAGUGUGAGAAGGACAAGACUUGCUGGUUGCUAGCCAGAAGACAGAGGGGGCCACAUGGAAAGUGUGAGAAGGAAAUAAAUUCUACCAGUAACCAGUGAGCUUCAAAGAAGACUUCAUGCCCUAAAGAACUGCAGUCACAGCUGAUACUAGGAUUUACCAUCCUGUGAACUAAUGUAUAGAACUAUGUGAUGAUAAAUUACUGUAGUCUUAAGCUACAAAAUUUGUGGUCUUUUGUUACAAAGCAAUAGAAAACUAACACACUCUCUAAAAGCAGGCCCAACCCCUAUUUCAUUCAGCACUGAACUAUAUA